Molecule: long non-coding RNA, 793 nt
Organism: Ictalurus punctatus (channel catfish)
Lineage: Eukaryota; Metazoa; Chordata; Actinopteri; Siluriformes; Ictaluridae
Source: Ensembl
UUUAUCUAAAAUUUAAAUAUUCAUUACAUUUAUAUUACAGUGCAAGACCGAGUUAAGCUCAUCUGAUUCUAGUGUAUAGACAGCUUGGUGAUUAUUUCUGAUGAUGAGAUUCCCGAAACAACCACUCAUGACCUUUUGAAUCUGAGCUCCACACGUAAGUCAUAACAUAAAAUUAUGAAUGUUUCAUGCUGUAAAAGUCUUUCAUACGUGAAUAUAACAUUGUUUGUAUCAUAUUCAGAAGUUGAGGGAAACGUGACUAACAGUGCUUACGACGGAGAUAUUUCAGAUACGAGUGAUGCAAUAGAAGACCAAGAGGAAAUCAUCUCGGAAACCGACAUUCAACAAGACAUCGAACUACAACAGAUCUGUGCAGUGUGGCGUGAAUUCUUCGAAGCAAAGACUGAUUUAUUGGAAAACUUUGGACAGAUUGAUUAUACACUUGAAUCUGGUCGAGGUACAGAUUUUAUCCAUUUACUGUACAGCAUGCUUGAAAAUGUGAAUAGAUGUCUCUCAGUGAGCAUAAAGUUGAUUAGAAAAUUGUAUGAUAGAUAUGGCGCAGAAACGACUGAAAUGAAGUUCGGAUAUAGAGACUAAAAAAAAGAGAACCGAAAAUUCUCCAUUAUCGCAUGAUUUCUUUUAUGAUGGAAACCAGAGUUUUUCAAAUGGUCCGUUAUAUCAUGAUUCGUACACACCCCUGAACCCAUGUUUAACUGAAGCGAUCAACCGGCUGAACGAAAGUUUAAUUCCGUCACACCAAGUCGUUAGUGAGAGACCUAAUCAGAGUCCAAAUUAC